GAUGAACGCUAGCUACAGGCUUAACACAUGCAAGUCGAGGGGCAUCAUGAUCAAAGCUUGCUUUGAUUGAUGGCGACCGGCGCACGGGUGAGUAACGCGUAUCCAACCUUCCCCCUAGUAGGGCAUAGCCCGGCGAAAGUCGGAUUAAUACCCUAUGUUUUCCGUUGAUGGCAUCUGACAUGGAACAAAGAUUCAUCGCUAGGGGAUGGGGAUGCGUCCGAUUAGGUAGUCGGCGGGGUAACGGCCCACCGAGCCUUCGAUCGGUAGGGGUUCUGAGAGGAAGGUCCCCCACAUUGGAACUGAGACACGGUCCAAACUCCUACGGGAGGCAGCAGUGAGGAAUAUUGGUCAAUGGGCGUGAGCCUGAACCAGCCAAGUAGCGUGCAGGAUGACGGCCCUAUGGGUUGUAAACCUCUUUUGCGCGGGGAUAAAGUCACUCACGUGUGGGUGUUUGUAGGUACCGCAUGAAUAAGGACCGGCUAAUUCCGUGCCAGCAGCCGCGGUAAGAC
Molecule: ribosomal RNA, 509 nt
Filed under: uncultured bacterium
Lineage: Bacteria
Description: bacterial SSU rRNA
Rfam family: Bacterial small subunit ribosomal RNA
Source: RNAcentral